Molecule: long non-coding RNA, 668 nt
Organism: Equus quagga
Lineage: Eukaryota; Metazoa; Chordata; Mammalia; Perissodactyla; Equidae
Exons: 2
Source: RefSeq, a predicted model, not a curated record
CGGCCUGAGUCAGGCACCUUACCUUUCAUCUAAUCUAAGCAUGAAUGAGAGGGUGGAGGGAACCAGGACUCCUUGUUCAAAAACAACAGAGGGGGUGGGGAUCCACUGGGGGAACACACAAGUGCUUCUGGAUCUGUGGUCAAAGGCAAAUCCAGGCUGCUUCUCCAUCGAAAACUGCGUAUCUCAGGAACUCAGGAAGGCAACUCUCUAUGAGGAGAAAAGACUUUUAGAUUUACCUCAAGAUACCUCUUUUAGCCUAUACCACUUAUCUUGAAAGAAGAGAUUGAAACUUGACAGUAUUUUAGAACCCAAAGUGCUAUCGAGCCUCGUUUUCCACAUUUCCGACAAUUCAACAAGCCAUGUGUCAUUUUCAUUCAAUAUAUGCGGUAAAACGCUGGAUAUGUUGACCAGGAUUACAAAGACUAUCGACCAGGCCAGCAGGAGCAGGAAGCAAGGCCUUGGCACCCCCACCCUCUGGCUCACUUCCACCGUGCGCAGCACACGUCCACCUGUCGAUGUCCUGGUAUCUACCCUGGGGGACACAGGGACACUACAUCAUCAAGACAGUACCAGAUUCUGGAGCUGCAGAUAUUCCCACAUGGGAAAUACUCACUCAACAUCUAAAAUGAGCCUUGUAAGAAUUUAAUAAAAAGCUGUGGUUCUCUGUA